This 506-nucleotide ribosomal RNA is filed under the name uncultured bacterium. Its description in RNAcentral is "partial 16S ribosomal RNA". It matches the Rfam family "Bacterial small subunit ribosomal RNA", at positions 29 to 523 of the family's 1533-position model. The record is from RNAcentral.
AGUGAACGCUGGCGGUAGGCCUAACACAUGCAAGUCGAACGGCAGCACAGGAGAGCUUGCUCUCUGGGUGGCGAGUGGCGGACGGGUGAGGAAUACAUCGGAAUCUACUCUGUCGUGGGGGAUAACGUAGGGAAACUUACGCUAAUACCGCAUACGACCUACGGGUGAAAGCAGGGGACCUUCGGGCCUUGCGCGAUUGAAUGAGCCGAUGUCGGAUUAGCUAGUUGGCGGGGUAAAGGCCCACCAAGGGGACGAUCGGUAGCUGGUCUGAGAGGAUGAUAAGCCACACUGGAACUGAGACACGGUCCAGACUCCUACGGGAGGCAGCAGUGGGGAAUAUUGGACAAUGGGCGCAAGCCUGAUCCAGCCAUACCGCGUGGGUGAAGAAGGCCUUCGGGUUGUAAAGCCCUUUUGUUGGGAAAGAAAUCCAGCUGGCUAAUACCCGGUUGGGAUGACGGUACCCAAAGAAUAAGCACCGGCUAACUUCGUGCCAGCAGCCGCCGUAA